Picea glauca (white spruce) is the source of this 124-nucleotide non-coding RNA. NCBI's taxonomy places the organism in Eukaryota, Viridiplantae, Streptophyta, Pinopsida, Pinales, Pinaceae. The record is from Rfam.
UAAUAUGCACAUGCCUAUAGUUUUAAUGCAUCAGAUCCCAUUAGAACUUCAUCAUUAAGCGUGCUUGGGCUAGAAUAGUACUAGGAUGGGUGGACUCCCAUGAAGUCCUAGUGUUUUACAUGCC